RNAcentral lists this ribosomal RNA (253 nucleotides) under uncultured bacterium. RNAcentral's name for it is "partial 16S ribosomal RNA". It matches the Rfam family "Bacterial small subunit ribosomal RNA", at positions 524 to 776 of the family's 1533-position model. The record is from RNAcentral.
UACGUAGGGUGCAAGCGUUGUCCGGAAUUAUUGGGCGUAAAGAGCUUGUAGGCGGUUUGUCGCGUCCGCUGUGAAAUUUCGGGGCUCAACCCCGAACUUGCAGUGGGUACGGGCAGACUAGAGUGUGGUAGGGGAGACUGGAAUUCCUGGUGUAGCGGUGAAAUGCGCAGAUAUCAGGAGGAACACCGAUGGCGAAGGCAGGUCUCUGGGCCACUACUGACGCUGAGAAGCGAAAGCAUGGGGAGCGAACAGG